Molecule: unclassified non-coding RNA, 351 nt
Filed under: fungal sp.
Lineage: Eukaryota; Fungi
Description: partial internal transcribed spacer region
Rfam family: Eukaryotic small subunit ribosomal RNA (bases 1-46)
Source: RNAcentral
AAGUCGUAACAAGGUUUCCGUAGGUGAACCUGCGGAAGGAUCAUUAACACGUAUCCAACGUUAAAACCCCCCUGUGAACCUUCAUUCCUGCUCCGAAAACUUUUCACACAGCACUGUUGGAGAGCGUACGUUGACGUCGGUUGAGAUAGAGGCAUGGCUUCCCGAAGCAGUCAUCAAAUGAAAGUGUUGAUGGCUGUAGACGGAUAACUUCACGGUCGCUGGAGGCCCACACGGUCGGCGGACAUGCCUUAAGGGCGAAAGCCCCCUAAUCACCCCACUACCCUACUUCACCUGCCGCCAAAACCGCAGGUGCAAAACGAACAACUGUUAACAAUGGAUAUCUUGGUUCUC